UCAGUCAGCGCAGCGUAAUAACAGAAGCUAACCAGGAUUCCCUUAGUAACGGCGAGUGAACUGGGAUACCAAUAUAUUUAUGCGUCUCUGGCGCAUAUUUUUAGCCCGUCGAUACUAUCCUAGCGUAUUACCGGUUUCGGCCGGUAGCCCAAUACGCGGGAAUUGUGGCAUCGUAAUAAAAUAUACACCAUGCCUGCGUCGCAAACGUAUAUACACGUAUACUCACACACACACACAUACUCUCGUACGCGUACACACCCCUUGCAAACACACAGCGCUCCCGCGUUGGAAAGCAAGUCUAUAUCCUCUUUGGAUAUGCCAUAGAGUGUGACAGCCACGUUUGAAACACCCUACGUACCGUACACACACAUACGUAAAAAUACGCGCUGCUUCGCAUACGCAUACCGUAUAUAACCUGAGUCGAGUUAUUUGGGACUAUAGCUCUAAUAGUUUGGUUGGUGGUAAUGACACAUCAAAGGCUAAAUAUUGGUUAGUCGAUGCAUUUUACGGAGACCGAUAGCAUACAAGUACCGUAAGGGAACGAUGAAAAGCACCCUAUUAAGUUCACGGUGUCGGCCGCGUACAAUUCGUUGAACAACGCCGCGCCCAACAACUACAGUGGGAGUGAAAGAGAGAGU
RNAcentral lists this ribosomal RNA (638 nucleotides) under Ammonia sp. genotype T6. RNAcentral's name for it is "partial large subunit ribosomal RNA". It matches the Rfam family "Eukaryotic large subunit ribosomal RNA", at positions 43 to 400 of the family's 3401-position model. The record is from RNAcentral. Lineage: Eukaryota; Foraminifera; Rotaliida; Rotaliidae.